RNAcentral lists this small RNA (127 nucleotides) under Marmota monax (woodchuck). Lineage: Eukaryota; Metazoa; Chordata; Mammalia; Rodentia; Sciuridae. The record is from RNAcentral.
GCUAGGUGCGGUGGUGCACACCUGUAAUCCCAGCAGCUCAGGAGGCUGAGGCAGGAGGUUUGGGGUUUCAAAGCGAAACUCAGCAAUUUAACAAAUCCCUAGGCAACUCAGUGAGACCCUGUCUCUA